This is a long non-coding RNA of Gadus morhua (Atlantic cod), 4770 nucleotides long. The record is from Ensembl. NCBI's taxonomy places the organism in Eukaryota, Metazoa, Chordata, Actinopteri, Gadiformes, Gadidae.
AUGCCUCAAACAAAGUCAAUGGAUACAAUCCAGCAGCAGACACUUCAGAUCGUCCUCUGCCUCUUUCAGGAGGACCUGGGGUGUAUUGAGGUGGAUGGAGUCGGCGAUGGUGACAAGUUUGACCCUGUUCCGAUCGCUAAUAAACUGAAGGAGGUGGCAGACCAACUGCAGAAACAGUGGGACAAGGAUAUCCCAGCAGCACUGCUUCGGGACGCAAACCAAGACAUCAGCAGUGCCUUCAGCAGUGCUGUGGACAGUAUUUGCCUGAGCCCCGGGGUUUGUGAGGGGCUUCCAGAGAUGAAGCUGCUCGCAGUGGCGGUGGCCCUAGGUCUCUACCUGAAAACACACGCCCCGGGGAACGUCUCCAACAUCCAGCAGGCAACCGCCAGCUUCCUGCGCAGCCGGGUGGAACCCUUUGUUGAUCAACAGGGCGGUUGGGGUGCCGUGGCAGACCUCUGAACCAGCCAUGUCGUUGUGACCAACAGUCUGACCUGAGCCAAGACUAUUCAAGAAGGUUUUUUACAACCCAGGAGGUCAAAACCACCAGCAUAAAACCGACUGGCCUGAUCCAUACUGAUUUUAUUGGUUAUUAUUUUUAUUAUUCCACUUGAUUAUGAAGGUUUUUUCAAUUUCUUAGCUUUUCUCUAAAAUGUACACCAUAGAAGGAAAAAGUAAGUUUACAGUAAGAAGUUUACAUAUGUUUACACAUGCACAAUCGCGUGAUGUGCAUGUGAAAAGUGAUGACAUGAUCACCUUUGUUGAUAGUAGAAUAUCAAUAGGAAUGGGUAUAGGAAUAUGAACACAUGAUUUAACUGAUGUAGUCGGUAUAUUCAGGUCAGAUCACAGGGAAAUACCAAGCUUAUAAGGAAAAUACUUGAAACCAGCCUCUUCCAGGAGACAGCGACCACAAUCAAACAUGAACCUGAUGAAUGGGAAGCUUCCUCAUGGGGAUGUUGUGCUGCAUGGCAAACGUAUUCCCAUACACCACAAUGAUUGUUAUUCCAUAAGUGCAAGGUUUAAUCUUGUGUAGUGUGUAAUGUAUAAACACUGUCUACAUCACACAUCUACGUAUCACGGGAGAAUCUAUAUAUGUGGCGUUUAUCUGUAAUGAAGUGAAAGGAACCAAGUGAGUAGAAAAAUGCAUUGCGAACUACCGUCCUGGUUGGUGAAUGUUUGUAAAUCACUAAUGUGCCUCUGUCACAAAAUAAAAAUGACUGUCCUAGGCCCAUCUUCGUACAUUUCUGGCUACAAGGCCCAACCUUUCACCUACAGAUUGUGUUUAAAGUCACAGCCUCUAGAGGGCAGCACAAUAUUAGUAAUAAGCAGGCGAGGACAAUUAAUGUUAAUUCAAGUAAAGUAACAACGUGCGUUUCAAUACGGUUCACAUUUAGUUCCAAUAGCACUGUUGAUCAAAAUAUAUAAACACAAGAUUUAGGGAAGUUGGGUAUAUUUGAGGAAAAAAACUAAUUUGCAUAUUUGUUGCUAUCAGUUAGAGAUAUUUCAUAACUCGGAACCCCUAAGAUUUAUAUCUUUAAUACAGGGGCCCAAAACAUUGCAAGACAAAGUGAGCUGAAUCUGCCUUUGCAGUGUUACAUCCGUCAGAUUUUCAUCAGGGCUCAGGAAGUAGGCCUAUAGUUAAAAUAGUCUGGCUUACAGAAAUGAAAACUCUAGUGCUCCUAGAUCUAGAAAUAGCUAAAUAAGGUAUGGGGUACAUUAAACCAGUGGUUCUCACCCCCAGGGGUCCGCGGUGCAUUGCCAAGGGGUCCGGGAAAAGUUUUUGGGCCAAUAGUAACUCUUUUAUAACAUUACGUCAAUCUGUCAAAGCAUUCUCAGAGUCUGAUAACGCCAAGUAGCCUACUUUGAAGACAAUUGUUAAAUAUAAUUAAAAAGGCCUAAUACUGAUAAUCCCACACAAGCCGGAAAGGUGAGGAAGUACAACGAAGACUACACUUUAUCUACAUUGGAAGCCUUUGGAUUUAUUGAGAACAGUGGUGGGAAGCCGAUGUGUGUCUUCUGUUAGAUAAUGAAGCAAUGAAGGGAGCUUGCCUAAUGUUCCCACAGCCCUAUGUUCCCACAGUCCUACACCAAAUGCCCAAUUUUCCCCACAUUUCACUGGAACUGGUUGGAUCCCUGCCUCACUUAUCGGAAUUGAGCUUUGUUUAUCCCUAACACCUAACCUUCUCGUUAAUUUACUAUAGAGUGCUUCCAAAAAAAUCUUGUGGGAGUACCUAAUUUUGAAAAUGUCCCAGAAAUGUGUGACUAACCCAGAUAGCAAAAUUGAGUUGAAUCAAUGAUUAAAUAUGGUUUGGCAGAAAUGUUGAUACUACGUUGAAGCCUGACAUUGAAACGAUGUUGAAAGUGUCCCCUCUACUUUUUGUUGAAUCAACAUUGGAUCUUCAACCAUAUCGAUAUUGAAUCAAUGGUGAUUCAACCAUCAUCUAAAUGAGAAUCUACAUUUAAAUUUCAAUUGAUUUUAUGUUGAAAUAAUGUUACUUAUCAAUGGCGAAUCAACCAUCAUCUAAAUGAGAAUCUUCAUUUAAAUUUCAGUUGAUUUUAUGUUGAAAUAAUGUUACUGAAUCAAUAUUGGUUCAACCAUUAUCUAAAAGGUAUACUAAAUAUUAAUUUAUAUGAAUUAAUGAGUAUAAUAUACAUGUAUUACAAUGAGUGAUGGCCAUUUUAGCUUGCAGAACAAUCAACAUCAACCUUGAAAUAAACUCUUUAGCAGUAAGACUAUCAGCCAAGAGGUGUUUAUGUCAAUGAAAACAAAAUGUGGUAUUGUCAACAAUAGGACUAACUGUAUAUAACAACAGACACAUUUUGGAUUCAUUUAGUUACUAUGGAUAAAACCAUUUAUUAGAAAAACAACAAAAAACAAAGGCUGCAACCAGGGCCAACCAGGGCCAUAGCUCAUAUGAAGAGGACACUGUGGGAGAGAAGCACAAAGGACAAGCAUGUCAGCACUCACGAUUAAACAUUUUGGCAGAGCAACUUAUGCAACAGCAAUUUAAGAAUAUUAGGAAUAUCAAAUUCACCUACAUCUACUUUUUCUUGAUGCCUCCUGCAUGCCAAGGGGCGUUCCGUAGCCAAUUUUUGACAAUGUCGCUGGAAGGCCUGCUGUGGUGAGUUUUCGGUCACACUGCCUAGAAGCAACUGAAAGACAUGAAUACAAAAUGGUUGUUUAAGGAAUGAGAAGAUACUCAUCGUAUCAGUUGGGUUUAACUCAAUUGGAACGACCAUGCGGAACAUGGAUAUAAAAUGUUAACAGUGAAAAUGUUGGGUUGCACUACAUGUUUCAUUGGAAUACAUUGGAAAUGCAUUGGAAAUGCACCUCAUGUUCCUGAAAUGCAUUACAGGAACAUGACUCUCCAUGAGCUAGGGGCAGGUGUGACAUCUGUCUUUGCAUGUUUAAUAACAUCUAGAGGACACGAGCUUUCAGAAAAUGUAUGGUUUGAGUGGUUAUAUUGGCUUUCCCUAAAAGUAUAGACCAAAAUGUAAAGUCUUUCUACUUGAUUCACAAGGCAAAUCCUGAUAAUGACUGGCGUUUCUAUACAUUAUCCCUUACUUAACAUUCUGAUCAAUGUUCAGCAUGGUCAGACCUUUCAAAAAAAGGUAUUUUUUUGGAAUAUGGGAUGGGGGGGUGGGUGCGCGGUAAGGCCCAGUAAAGCCCGGUGAGGCCCCGCCUAUAUAUGCAGAAUGUCUCAUUAUGCAGCUCAGUUUAUCAAACAAAUUACCAUCUUUUGUCGGACUUGGCUCAGUUUUCAACAACGUUUCCGGCCUCAUUGAAGUCAUCUUCUUUUGUGAUAGGCAGCUGGAUGGGGAACAUGUCUUGGCUUGUGGCUGGCCCUGGUCCACAAGCUGGGGUCAUUGUAGUCUCUGCCAAUUCACCCUUGAUGAACUGCACAUCCCUUGAGAGUUCAUUGACAACCAACCAAGCACUUCUGCGAGCAUUUUUGUCAUCUUUUGGAUGCCAAGGUCUUAAAUAAGGAUAAAAACAAAUUGUCAAACAAAUUGCCAUGAGAUAAAAAUGUGCAAAAUACUUCUGUGGUUACAUAGCACAACAUUUUCUAAUAGACUUGCCUUUCAAAAAGCUGCCCGUUGUCACCAUUGCAUGGUCACAUCUAUAAAUACAAGUAAUUUAGAAACAAUUAACAAUUCCAACAAGACCAAAUAAACCAUUACCCGUUUUGUGCAUAUUGUGGGGCACGAAAUGGGGUGUGCACAGAACCAUAUGGUGAUAUACUGGUAACCCUGCUGAAACAAAUAUAUUAAAUUUAGAUAUUUGGAAGCAUUAACACAACUUUGAGAGGGCAGAUUGUGUUGUCAGCUACCAAAGGAGGUCAUAACAAAAAAAUGUUAUUAAGUAAUUUUAUGUCAUGCUAAUGUGUCAGUUUCAUUGUGGAGUUCUGUGUCCACGGCUGUACUAAAAGUGUUGCUGGAAGUAUGGCAUCAUACCAUCUCUCUGUGGGACCUGCAGCUGGUGGGACGUCCCAGCGCCGCCGGCGGAUGCUGCCAUCAUUUCUGAAACACACAAAAGAAAUGUAAAAGUCAGUGAAUUAAAUUAUUUUACAAAAGACAUACAGAGGCUUAUGUGACUACCGACCAUUAUUUGAGAGCUUACCAUGGUGAAAUUGCACCGGCACCUGCAAACAUAUCUGCAAAAGGGGCAUACAAUACAUGUGACUUACCAUUUCUUGCCAGUUGUGAGGACCAUGCUACUGGAACUCUCACAUCAGGCUGGAGUGAAAGAAGUGGUUUCCUAGGUUCACCAGA